Molecule: ribosomal RNA, 484 nt
Filed under: uncultured bacterium
Lineage: Bacteria
Description: partial 16S ribosomal RNA
Rfam family: Bacterial small subunit ribosomal RNA
Source: RNAcentral
AUUGAACGCUGGCGGCAGGCCUAACACAUGCAAGUCGAGCGGAUGAAGGGAGAUUGCUCCUGGAUUCAGCGGCGGACGGGUGAGUAAUGCCUAGGAAUCUGCCUGGUAGUGGGGGAUAACGUCCGGAAACGGGAGCUAAUACCGCAUACGUUCUGAGGGAGAAAGUGGGGGAUCUUCGGACCUCACGCUAUCAGAUGAGCCUAGGUCGGAUUAGCUAGUUGGUGGGGUAAAGGCCUACCAAGGCGACGAUCCGUAACUGGUCUGAGAGGAUGAGCAGUCACACUGGAACUGAGACACGGUCCAGACUCCUACGGGAGGCAGCAGUGGGGAAUAUUGGACAAUGGGCGAAAGCCUGAUCCAGCCAUGCCGCGUGUGUGAAGAAGGUCUUCGGAUUGUAAAGCACUUUAAGUUGGGAGGAAGGGCAGUAAGUUAAUACCUUGCUGUUUUGACGUUACCAACAGAAUAAGCACCGGCUAACUUCGUG